AAUCGUUAAGAACCGUGAGAGAUGAUCACGUUGAUAGGCUUUAAGUGUAAGCGCAGUAAUGCGUUGAGCUGAGAAGUACUAAUGUUUCGAUUCCUGUUAAGAA
Molecule: non-coding RNA, 103 nt
Organism: Candidatus Nomurabacteria bacterium
Lineage: Bacteria; Candidatus Nomuraibacteriota
Source: Rfam